Molecule: non-coding RNA, 30 nt
Filed under: Rattus norvegicus (Norway rat)
Lineage: Eukaryota; Metazoa; Chordata; Mammalia; Rodentia; Muridae
Source: RNAcentral
UGACCAAAGGAAUGAAGAGGAGAAACUAGC